CCUACGGGACGCAGCAGUGAGGAAUAUUGGUCAAUGGACGCAAGUCUGAACCAGCCAUGCCGCGUGCAGGAAGACGGCUCUAUGAGUUGUAAACUGCUUUUGUACGAGGGUAAACGCAGAUACGCGUAUCUGUCUGAAAGUAUCGUACGAAUAAGGAUCGGCUAACUCCGUGCCAGCAGCCGCGGUAAUACGGAGGAUUCAAGCGUUAUCCGGAUUUAUUGGGUUUAAAGGGUGCGUAGGCGGUCGGAUAAGUUAGAGGUGAAAUCCCGAGGCUCAACUUCGGAAUUGCCUCUGAUACUGUACGGCUAGAGAGUAGUUGCGGUAGGCGGAAUGUAUGGUGUAGCGGUGAAAUGCUUAGAGAUCAUACAGAACACCGAUUGCGAAGGCAGCUUACCAAGCUACUUCUGACGUUGAGGCACGAAAGCGUGGGGAGCAAACAGGAUUAGAUACCCUUGUAGUC
This 460-nucleotide ribosomal RNA is filed under the name uncultured bacterium. RNAcentral describes it as "partial 16S ribosomal RNA". It matches the Rfam family "Bacterial small subunit ribosomal RNA", at positions 338 to 795 of the family's 1533-position model. The record is from RNAcentral.